RNAcentral lists this ribosomal RNA (485 nucleotides) under uncultured bacterium. Its description in RNAcentral is "bacterial SSU rRNA". It matches the Rfam family "Bacterial small subunit ribosomal RNA", at positions 327 to 805 of the family's 1533-position model. The record is from RNAcentral.
AACCGAGAACUCCUACGGGAGGCAGCAGUGGGGAAUUUUGGACAAUGGGGGCAACCCUGAUCCAGCAAUGCCGCGUGAGUGAAGAAGGCCUUCGGGUUGUAAAGCUCUUUUGUCAGGGAAGAAGGGCAUUAACCUAAUACGUUAGUGUCUUGACGUUACCGAAAGAAUAAGCACCGGCUAACUACGUGCCAGCAGCCGCGGUAAUACGUAGGGUGCGAGCGUUAAUCGGAAUUACUGGGCGUAAAGCGUGCGCAGGCGGCUUUGCAAGACAGAGGUGAAAUCCCCGGGCUCAACCUGGGAACUGCCUUUGUGACUGCAAGGCUAGAGUACGGCAGAGGGGGAUGGAAUUCCGCGUGUAGCAGUGAAAUGCGUAGAUAUGCGGAGGAACACCGAUGGCGAAGGCAAUCCCCUGGGCCUGUACUGACGCUCAUGCACGAAAGCGUGGGGAGCAAACAGGAUUAAAAACCCGAGUAGUCCGACUGAGA